AUUUGCUCUCAGGGCGGCGUCUGUGGAGAGGACGGCUGUGGCGGCUCGCCGUUCGUCGCCGGGUACGGGGCAGGAGGGUCCUCCCCUUGGCUAUGGUCCUCCCUCCUCCCCCAGUCCCACGCCCUCUCUCCCACACCCCUCCUUGAAACCCUAGCCGCCACAACCGGUCGUCGCUGAUGCACUCCUCGAGGAGAAGCUAGAUCGGCGGAGCUCGUUUCCGGGCGCGCGGGAGGUGCGAUGGAGGCCGCAGGGCGAGAGGGAGGCCAUCCGGCGGCCACGGGAACAGGCCAUGCGCUGCCUCCUGGCCUCCCACCCAGUGUUUCUCCCAUGUCCAACACCAGCAGCUAGCUCCUCCCAAUUGCCUCGCCCCCUCCAGUAGCAGUAGCAGUAGCAGCAGCAGCAGCAGAGUCUCCACCACCACACCUUAACUCUGCCAGGCUGACCAUAAAUUAUGGUAAUGCUUUGUGAAAGUAUUUUUCUGUUGAUUUAGCCUCUGGUUCAGAUAAAGGAUGGCACAUCAUAUGAGAUAGUUUGCAUUGCGCAUUGGUUGAGGAUUGCAUGGCAGUUGGCGAGAGAAGAGGAUCAAAAGAACGAGAGGGGGCAAGAUUAUUUUAUGGUCUCCCGGAUUCUGUUUUAGUUUCAGUUUCUACUAGAUUGGUUGUUUAGCAAGAAUUCUUUCAUAGGAUUUGUGAAGAAGGAAGUUAGGGCUAUUCUAGCUGAAAAUAAUGGAGCAUGAAGUCGAUCAGGUGGGAUGAGCAUUUUUAUUGCAAGCCCAGAUGGUCAUGUUGUCAGUGGUGGAGUUGCUGCCCUGCUGGUGGCGGCAAGUCUUGUUGAGUCAAGCCCAGAAUGGUUGGUCAAAUAUUGAUAUUUCAUUGGCACCCCAACAUAGCUUCGGCUUGUGGGAUAUGAUGGCUAACUAUAAUAGGAGUCAUUGUGAGAGUAUGCUGAUGACACAUGCUCAAUCUAUGGCAACAACCAGUGGUCAUGGCCAUCGCAAUAGCAGCCAGCAUACCUACCAAAAUUUGCACCUUGUCCCAUUUGGUUCUCACCAAAAUCAGGUUCUGUGCAAUGGAAAGGAGCUUGGAACAAAUGAAACAAACGUCUGGAUGAUCAAUGAAGAAGCAAUGUAGAUGGGCUCAGAUACAUAUCAUCAUCUGAAGGUACCCUCUAUUUCUAAGAACUUUCUUGGGUAUAUUAAUGUUGUCCAGUACCAUAUUUGGACCAACCUUCUACCUUCCUAUCAAGUGUAGGAAACAUUGUGCGUGUAUGCGAAACCUAACGUCCUAUGUGAGCUUUCUAAUGCUCUUUUCCGUCUUCUUAACCUGGUCGUCACUAAUUCAUGUCAGUACAUAAUUCCCAAGGCAGAGCACUAAUUUUCGAAACAUGGGUUGUGUAGCUGUCCCAAAGUUUAUUUUAUACUGCAGCACUGACAGAUAAGUUUGCUGAUUUUGAUCAACAAAUUUCUUACCAGUGAUAUGUUAGGAUAUCAUAUGGGAAAAGUAUGGCUGCAGACAGUUGCAAAAUUGAUGAUGAUGGUGGAUAUAUUUUCUCCAAAUAUUUCCAGGAAAGUAAGGAGUUGAUUUUACCUUUUCCUCGUGCGGUUUCGUUCUUACUUUCCACCUGGGGAACCCACAUAUGGAUUUCAACAUAAUCGAUGUCGGAUUAAUGUUCAGUAUGACUGAAGCCUGGAUUUUUCAUCGCCACUAUAGAUAGAGCUGGAUAUAAUGGAAGGAUCAAGUUCAGAGUUGAUGACUUGUUGUUGGGUAUAUGUCAGUGUGCAUGUUGGUGCAACAGUGCAGUAAAUGUUUCCACUUCACUACUGCUGUUAUGUUAUUAUGCAACUAGAAAUUAUCCUUUUCAUCAUACAAUUCCACAGACUAAUAAGGAAGUUUUUUUUUAUUUUGUAUUGUGGGCAUCAGAUGGGCUUAAUUUACUUGCUUGCUCAAAUAUUACAUGACCUAUUGAACUUUGUGUCAGAUACAUAAUUCAGGUUUUUUAAAAUAUUGCUUUAAUUGAUCAGAUGUCUUGAGACAUCAAUACAUUUAUUAAUGAUAUUUGACCUGUCAUGUCAAAGUCAAGAAACAGAGAUCCAAAGAAGUAAGAGUUGAUUUUCAUCAUCUAUAGUUGUAUUUCUACUCUAGAUUUCAGUCUGCUGUCAAAAGUUCAGAGAUAUCCCUAUACUUUCUACCACACACUCUCUCUGACUUCCCUAAUGAUUUAAUUUUUCUUGGUCAUCUCUGCAGACAUCUAGAGCAUCCAUGGUGAUGAUGUUGUCCAUGUGAAAUCCUUGGUGAGGUUGGACGUCCCCAAGAGACACAUGGUCUCUAUUGACAUGAGAAGUAAAGCAUUGGAAGCAUUGGUACCUUAUGCUGCAACUAAACUGGAUGCCUACUGCCCCCACUUCCCCCUGCGUGUUGUUAAGUCAUCUGAGCGACAGUCCAGAAGAAAAUAAUACUGUGGAACCUUGGGAUGGGGGUCUGGGUUGAAGGUUGGUUCUUUUUGCUGAAGGAAACUUCUUCAUGGCUAAACCCUGACGGUGUUGACUCACCUUGCCUUUUGCAUCUUUCAAGUGACUAUGCAUUGCUAAAUCGAUGCGAACUACCGGCUAACAAAUAAAUAACUUGAUUGUGCAAUUCCAGCUUCAUAGUGAACCUUCUUUAUGAGGACUACUACAAUGGUUUGUCUUGAAUUUAACAGCUUUUUUUGUGCCUCGGCAAUGCAGAUUUGCCGGGGCUUGUACAAGCAAGUAACUCUGAGAAUGCGAAUGCAGCUCUGCCCCAAAUUUGUCAAGCAAGCCACUCUCAGAACAUAGCUGACAAUGAAUGCCUAAUCAGGCAAGUCUUAGUCCUUCGAGAGAACUUCCAUACUGUGAAGAUCUCCAUUGUUUCUUUUUUAAAUGACAGUUUGAGGAGAGUUGCAGCAAUACAAAGAGUAUUUGCAAGGCUAUUAGUAUUUUGCUUGAUUUGUUGAUUAAUCGUGCAAGAGUAUUGCUGAAGUAGUAGUAGUAGUAGUAGUAGUAGUAGUAGUAGUAGUAGUAGUAGUAGCAAUUUUCUAUGUACUUCAGCUCUAUUGCUUUUAGACAGGAUGGUUUUGUCAUCGUUUUUGAUCUGUUGCCUCAGUCUUUUGUUUCUCUUGUAUGUGUACUUCAAUAUUUAGUCAACAAAAACCUGAGCCCUGGAUUGUA
Long non-coding RNA from Lolium rigidum, 3184 nucleotides. RefSeq lists it as uncharacterized. The transcript is spliced from 8 exons. Lineage: Eukaryota; Viridiplantae; Streptophyta; Magnoliopsida; Poales; Poaceae. The record is from RefSeq and is a predicted model, not a curated record.